GUUGUAUGGUUAAGUAAUUAAGCGUACACGGUGGAUGCCUUGGCAGUCAGAGGCGAUGAAGGACGUACUAACUUGCGUUAAGCCCAGAUUAGGCAGUAA
RNAcentral lists this ribosomal RNA (99 nucleotides) under Photobacterium proteolyticum. RNAcentral's name for it is "partial 23S ribosomal RNA". Lineage: Bacteria; Pseudomonadati; Pseudomonadota; Gammaproteobacteria; Vibrionales; Vibrionaceae. The record is from RNAcentral.